GGAUGUGAGGGCAAGCUGGCUGCAGCACCUGUCACCCCAUCAGUCAUCGGGGUUGGUUCAUGUGGCCUGGCUGUCCAGAUGGGGUCUCCUUCCUCAUGGCUCCACGUGCAUCCCUCCCCAGCUGCACGCUUGGUCAAAGAGGAGGAAGGCUCUUGGAUCAAGGGUAUAUGAGUGGCUGUGGUACCCAACUAGGACCUCCAAGCUUCCAAGACUCCAGGCACAGCCAAGUGAUGUGCUGCACACAGCCAUCUGCCUUGCUUU
This 261-nucleotide small nuclear RNA is filed under the name Vicugna pacos (alpaca). RNAcentral describes it as "7SK RNA (ENSVPAG00000015639.1)". It matches the Rfam family "7SK RNA". Rfam says of the family: 7SK was discovered as an abundant small nuclear RNA in the mid-70s but a possible function has only recently been suggested. Two independent studies have found that 7SK RNA binds the CDK9/cyclin T complex (known as elongation factor P-TEFb). Lineage: Eukaryota; Metazoa; Chordata; Mammalia; Artiodactyla; Camelidae. The record is from Rfam by way of RNAcentral.